Non-coding RNA from Pimephales promelas (fathead minnow), 370 nucleotides. Lineage: Eukaryota; Metazoa; Chordata; Actinopteri; Cypriniformes; Leuciscidae. The record is from RefSeq and is a predicted model, not a curated record.
UUUGUUGGUUUUCUCCAGUGAAGUGAGAGAUAAACUAAAGUAAAACAAUGGCUGACAAACCAAAUAUCAGUGAAAUCUCUCAGUUUGACAAGACCAAGCUGAAGAAAACUGAGACGCAGGAGAAAAACACACUUCCCACCAAAGAGACCAUUGAACAGGAGAAAAAAUGUGAGGCGUAAAUUAUCAACAGAUGUUCACCAAGGGCAAGAUGUAGAGGAUGAGAUGUGCGCUCAUGUGAUUUGUGAAGAGGCAGUCAACUUUGCACUGAGGAUGUUUAACUCUGAAAGAUCUAUGUGAAUCCAUCUGUAUAAGAAAAUGAGUUUUGUCUGCCUUCAUUUUGAACUUUGGUGAAAUAAACCUUUACAAUGAA